Molecule: long non-coding RNA, 1189 nt
Filed under: Cucumis sativus (cucumber)
Lineage: Eukaryota; Viridiplantae; Streptophyta; Magnoliopsida; Cucurbitales; Cucurbitaceae
Description: long non-coding RNA (CSAT_LNC002799)
Source: RNAcentral
UUUGGCAAAUGAAUUGCAUGCAUUUUUGCAUGUAAUUAGGUUAUAAAUAGAGGUGUUUUCAAAUGUUGAAGAACUUUUGCCUCUUUUAUCAUUUUCAUCAUCUCAACAAAAGAAAAAAGAAACCUUCCAAUACCAUUUUAUCUCCAUUACUUUCUACACCAAAAUUGGGUCCCACAACCCGGUUCUUUGUCUAGAGGAUAGCAGUUGAGUACUAGUGGUGGUCUCGGUUAGAAUUGGUAAGAAGAUAUCAAACCUUUUGAAAGCUUCAAAGGUAAUAUUUCUUAAAACCCUAAUUUGAUUAGUUUAUGAUUAUAUGUUAAUUGUGGCAAUUAGGGUAGAAGUUCGAUUCUUUUUCCGCUGUGCAUGACUUAGUUCUAUCAGUUUCUUCGACAAACUAAUCUUUUUUCAGUUUGUGUGUAGUUUAUGGUCUAUUCGUGAUAUUUUUUGUCGCUAAUACAUUUGGAAGAUGUUUAGAUGGUUUUCAUUCUAAUAUAUAUAUAAACUCUAAUACAACAUUAUCAUUUCAGGUUUAAGAAAAAAAAAUGAAAACAAUGGAAAUAGCAAAAAUUGAAAACAAUGGAGAUAACAAAGGAUGUUAAAAAUGUUAGGCCAAAGAGACAACUUAACCGAUCAAAUAAAAUGUUAGAGAAUAUAAAAGACUAGAAUAUUCUAAGAGACCGUUUGAUUUGUACCUAGUUUUGAUUUGCGACUAUCUCAUUGAGUAAAUGGUUGUUGUAGUAUUAGUUUUGCAGAUAUUUCAUGAUAAAAAAUAUCAAUGAUAGACUUCAUAUUUUAUUUGAUUUUGUUCAAUUGAUAUAGUAAAGUGUUGGACCACAUGUUAAAUAUUGCAAAUUGACUGAUCUAGAAGUUUAUUAAUGACAGACUAUAAUUGCGAAAAAGACUUCGUAGUGACGUUAACUCUUCAUAUUUAGUUGAUUUUACCAUAUUAAUAUAGAAAAAUGUUGGAUCACAAGUUGAAUAAUGAUUACAAGUUAUGUGCUUUUGUGUUCCAAUUAAGAAAUUAGUAUUAUACAUAUUGAAUCAUUGCAAAUUAGUAUUAAUUGGUGCACUUAAUUGAGAAAUUACUUUUGUUCAUAUACAUGUUGAAGUCUAUCAUUGAUAGAAGCUAUCAACGAUAAACUUUAUAGCAAAGUUUAUAAUUGAUAGAAACUAUCAACUAUAAGUUAAA